CACGUAGGGCGCAAGCGUUGUCCGGAAUUAUUGGGCGUAAAGAGCUCGUAGGUGGUUUGUUACGUCUGCUGUGAAAUCCUAGGGCUUAACCCUGGGCUUGCAGUGGAUACGGGCAGACUAGAGGUAGGUAGGGGAGAAUGGAAUUCCUGGUGUAGCGGUGAAAUGCGCAGAUAUCAGGAGGAACACCGGUGGCGAAGGCGGCUCACUGGCCAUGUACUGACACUGAAACACGAAAGCGUGGGGAGCAAACAGG
Molecule: ribosomal RNA, 253 nt
Filed under: uncultured bacterium
Lineage: Bacteria
Description: partial 16S ribosomal RNA
Rfam family: Bacterial small subunit ribosomal RNA
Source: RNAcentral